UUGGUGGCGACCGGCGCACGGGUGAGUAACGCGUAUGCAACCCCCUUAUCAGAGGGGAAUAACCCGGCGAAAGUCGGACUAAUACCGCAUAAAACAGGGACACCGCAUGGUGAUAUUUGUUAAAGAAAUUCGCUGAUAGAUGGGCAUGCGUUCCAUUAGGUAGUUGGUGAGGUAACGGCUCACCAAGCCGACGAUGGAUAGGGGAACUGAGAGGUUGGUCCCCCACACUGGUACUGAGACACGGACCAGACUCCUACGGGAGGCAGCAGUGAGGAAUAUUGGUCAAUGGGCGAGAGCCUGAACCAGCCAAGUCGCGUGAAGGAAGAAGGAUCUAUGGUUCGUAAACUUCUUUUGCAGGGGAAUAAAGUGCAGGACGUGUCCUGUUUUGUAUGUACCCUGAGAAUAAGGAUCGGCUAACUCCGUGCCAGCAGCCGCGGUAAUACGGAGGAUCCGAGCGUUAUCCGGAUUUAUUGGGUUUAAAGGGUGCGUAGGUGGUUUGAUAAGUCAGCGGUGAAAGUUUGCAGCUUAACUGUAAAAAUGCCGUUGAAACUGUCGGACUUGAGUGUAAAUGAGGUAGGCGGAAUGCGUGGUGUAGCGGUGAAAUGCUUAGAUAUCACGAAGAACUCCGAUUG
This 632-nucleotide ribosomal RNA is filed under the name uncultured Porphyromonadaceae bacterium. RNAcentral describes it as "bacterial SSU rRNA". It matches the Rfam family "Bacterial small subunit ribosomal RNA", at positions 85 to 715 of the family's 1533-position model. Lineage: Bacteria; Pseudomonadati; Bacteroidota; Bacteroidia; Bacteroidales; Porphyromonadaceae. The record is from RNAcentral.